GGGUUGUGAGGUUAAGCGACUAAGCGUACACGGUGGAUGCCCUGGCAGUCAGAGGCGAUGAAGGACGUGCUAAUCUGCGAAAAGCGUCGGUAAGGUGAUAUGAACCGUUAUAGCCGGCGAUGUCCGAAUGGGGAAACCCAGUGCAAUUCGUUGCACUAUCGUUAACUGAAUACAUAGGUUAACGAGGCGAACCGGGGGAACUGAAACAUCUAAGUACCCCGAGGAAAAGAAAUCAACCGAGAUUCCCCCAGUAGCGGCGAGCGAACGGGGAGCAGCCCGGAGUCUGAAUCAGCUUGUGUGUUAGUGGAAGCGUCUGGAAAGUCGCAGGGUACAGGGUGAUACUCCCGUACACUAAAACACACAGGUUGUGAACUCGAAGAGUAGGGCGGGACACGUGGUAUCCUGUCUGAAUAUGGGGGGACCAUCCUCCAAGGCUAAAUACUCCUGACUGACCGAUAGUGAACCAGUACCGUGAGGGAAAGGCGAAAAGAACCCCGGCGAGGGGAGUGAAAAAGAACCUGAAACCGUGUACGUACAAGCAGUAGGAGCCUCUUUAUGGGGUGACUGCGUACCUUUUGUAUAAUGGGUCAGCGACUUAUAUUCUGUAGCAAGGUUAACCGUAUAGGGGAGCCGCAGGGAAACCGAGUCUUAACUGGGCGUUAAGUUGCAGGGUAUAGACCCGAAACCCGGUGAUCUAGCCAUGGGCAGGUUGAAGGUUGGGUAACACUAACUGGAGGACCGAACCGACUAAUGUUGAAAAAUUAGCGGAUGACUUGUGGCUGGGGGUGAAAGGCCAAUCAAACCGGGAGAUAGCUGGUUCUCCCCGAAAGCUAUUUAGGUAGCGCCUCGUGAACUCAUCUUCGGGGGUAGAGCACUGUUUCGGCUAGGGGGUCAUCCCGACUUACCAACCCGAUGCAAACUACGAAUACCGAAGAAUGUUAUCACGGGAGACACACGGCGGGUGCUAACGUCCGUCGUGAAGAGGGAAACAACCCAGACCGCCAGCUAAGGUCCCAAAGUCAUGGUUAAGUGGGAAACGAUGUGGGAAGGCCCAGACAGCCAGGAUGUUGGCUUAGAAGCAGCCAUCAUUUAAAGAAAGCGUAAUAGCUCACUGGUCGAGUCGGCCUGCGCGGAAGAUGUAACGGGGCUAAACCAUGCACCGAAGCUGCGGCAGCGACACUAUGUGUUGUUGGGUAGGGGAGCGUUCUGUAAGCCGUUGAAGGUGGCCUGUGAGGGUUGCUGGAGGUAUCAGAAGUGCGAAUGCUGACAUAAGUAACGAUAAUGCGGGUGAAAAACCCGCACGCCGGAAGACCAAGGGUUCCUGUCCAACGUUAAUCGGGGCAGGGUGAGUCGACCCCUAAGGCGAGGCCGAAAGGCGUAGUCGAUGGGAAACAGGUUAAUAUUCCUGUACUCGGUGUUACUGCGAAGGGGGGACGGAGAAGGCUAUGUUGGCCGGGCGACGGUUGUCCCGGUUUAAGCAUGUAGGCGGAUGUUCCAGGUAAAUCCGGAACGUUAUUAACGCUGAGGUGUGAUGACGAGGCACUACGGUGCUGAAGUGACAAAUGCCCUGCUUCCAGGAAAAGCCUCUAAGCAUCAGGUAACAUCAAAUCGUACCCCAAACCGACACAGGUGGUCAGGUAGAGAAUACCAAGGCGCUUGAGAGAACUCGGGUGAAGGAACUAGGCAAAAUGGUGCCGUAACUUCGGGAGAAGGCACGCUGAUAUGUAGGUGAAGUGGUUUACCCAUGGAGCUGAAAUCAGUCGAAGAUACCAGCUGGCUGCAACUGUUUAUUAAAAACACAGCACUGUGCAAACACGAAAGUGGACGUAUACGGUGUGACGCCUGCCCGGUGCCGGAAGGUUAAUUGAUGGGGUUAUCCGUAAGGAGAAGCUCUUGAUCGAAGCCCCGGUAAACGGCGGCCGUAACUAUAACGGUCCUAAGGUAGCGAAAUUCCUUGUCGGGUAAGUUCCGACCUGCACGAAUGGCGUAAUGAUGGCCAGGCUGUCUCCACCCGAGACUCAGUGAAAUUGAACUCGCUGUGAAGAUGCAGUGUACCCGCGGCAAGACGGAAAGACCCCGUGAACCUUUACUAUAGCUUGACACUGAACACUGGUCCUUGAUGUGUAGGAUAGGUGGGAGGCUUUGAAGCGUGGACGCCAGUCUGCGUGGAGCCAUCCUUGAAAUACCACCCUUUAAUGGCUGGUGUUCUAACGUGGGCCCCUAAUCGGGGUUGCGGACAGUGUCUGGUGGGUAGUUUGACUGGGGCGGUCUCCUCCUAAAGAGUAACGGAGGAGCACGAAGGUCAGCUAAUCCUGGUCGGACAUCAGGAGGUUAGUGCAAUGGCAUAAGCUGGCUUGACUGCGAGCGUGACGGCGCGAGCAGGUGCGAAAGCAGGUCAUAGUGAUCCGGUGGUUCUGAAUGGAAGGGCCAUCGCUCAACGGAUAAAAGGUACUCCGGGGAUAACAGGCUGAUACCGCCCAAGAGUUCAUAUCGACGGCGGUGUUUGGCACCUCGAUGUCGGCUCAUCACAUCCUGGGGCUGAAGUAGGUCCCAAGGGUAUGGCUGUUCGCCAUUUAAAGUGGUACGCGAGCUGGGUUUAGAACGUCGUGAGACAGUUCGGUCCCUAUCUGCCGUGGGCGCUGGAGAAUUGAGGGGGGCUGCUCCUAGUACGAGAGGACCGGAGUGGACGCAUCACUGGUGUUCGGGUUGUCAUGCCAAUGGCAUUGCCCGGUAGCUAAAUGCGGAAGAGAUAAGUGCUGAAAGCAUCUAAGCACGAAACUUGCCCCGAGAUGAGUUCUCCCUGACUCCUUGAGAGUCCUGAAGGAACGUUGAAGACGACGACGUUGAUAGGCCGGGUGUGUAAGCGCAGCGAUGCGUUGAGCUAACCGGUACUAAUGAACCGUGAGGCUUAACCUUACAACGCCGAAG
Molecule: ribosomal RNA, 2928 nt
Filed under: Klebsiella sp. MPUS7
Lineage: Bacteria; Pseudomonadati; Pseudomonadota; Gammaproteobacteria; Enterobacterales; Enterobacteriaceae
Description: 23S ribosomal RNA
Rfam family: Bacterial large subunit ribosomal RNA
Source: RNAcentral